RNAcentral lists this ribosomal RNA (95 nucleotides) under uncultured bacterium. RNAcentral describes it as "partial 16S ribosomal RNA". It matches the Rfam family "Bacterial small subunit ribosomal RNA", at positions 1388 to 1482 of the family's 1533-position model. The record is from RNAcentral.
CACCGCCCGUCACACCACGAAAGUGGGUUGCACCAGAAGCCGGUGCGCCAACCGCAAGGAGGCAGCCGUCCAAGGUAUGACUCAUGAUUGGGGUG